RNAcentral lists this ribosomal RNA (824 nucleotides) under uncultured bacterium. Its description in RNAcentral is "bacterial SSU rRNA". It matches the Rfam family "Bacterial small subunit ribosomal RNA", at positions 21 to 872 of the family's 1533-position model. The record is from RNAcentral.
GGCUCAGGACGAACGCUGGCGGCGCGCCUAAUACAUGCAAGUCGAACGGAUUGGCUUCGGCCAGUCAGUGGCGGACGGGUGAGUAACACGUGGGUGACCUGCCCUCAAGUGGGGAAUAACGCUGCGAAAGCAGCGCUAAUACCGCAUACCCUCACGGCUUCGUUGCCGUGAGGAAAGCUCCGGCGCUUGAGGAGGGGCCUGCGGCCGAUUAGCUAGUCGGGGGGUAACGGCCCCCCGAGGCAACGAUCGGUAGCUGGUCUGAGAGGAUGAUCAGCCACACUGGGACUGAGACACGGCCCAGACUCCUACGGGAGGCAGCAGUAAGGGAUCUUCCGCAAUGGACGCAAGUCUGACGGAGCGACGCCGCGUGCGCGACGAAGCCCUUCGGGGUGUAAAGCGCUUUUCCCCGGGACGACAAAAAGACGGUACCGGGGGAAGAAGCCUCGGCUAACUACGUGCCAGCAGCCGCGGUAAUACGUAGGAGGCAAGCGUUGUCCGGAAUUACUGGGCGUAAAGCGCGUGUAGGCGGAUGUCUAAGUCUGUGGUGAAAGCGCCUGGCUCAACCGGGCGAGGUCCAUGGAAACUAGGCGUCUAGAGGCCGGUAGAGGGGGGUGGAAUUCCGGGUGUAGUGGUGAAAUGCGUAGAGAUCCGGAGGAACACCUGUGGCGAAGGCGGCCCCCUGGGCCGCGCCUGACGCUGAGACGCGAAAGCGCGGGGAGCGAACGGGAUUAGAUACCCCGGUAGUCCGCGCAGUAAACGAUGUCCACUAGGUGUGGGGGGUAUCGAGCCCCUCCGUGCCGCAGCCAACGCAGUAAGUGGACCGC